This 8282-nucleotide long non-coding RNA is filed under the name Theobroma cacao (cacao). RNAcentral's name for it is "long non-coding RNA (TCAC_LNC002389)". Lineage: Eukaryota; Viridiplantae; Streptophyta; Magnoliopsida; Malvales; Malvaceae. The record is from RNAcentral.
GCAUGCCACCACAGUUCUCUAACUUUAUCUUUGCACUUCCUAGAAAUAAUACGAACUCAAUAUAUUUAAUUACAUACGUAUAUGGGCAGCACUUCAAUCAAUUAAUCCUUACUCAAAUUUAUAUUUUCAUCCUAGCAUGAAACCGUCUUUAAUUAACCACAUCUUCAUACAUUUUUACCAAAAUUACUUACAUCCAUUGCUUACGAAAUUCCUUAGAUUAUAUCAUUGGCAACUUAUUUAUGAUGUCAUGUGCCUUUUUCCACCUUUCUAAAUAAUUUCCGCCCAAAUCCAUCUUAUAUUUCCACACAUAAUCCACAUAUAUGGUAGCAACAAUUAUUCUCACUUUCACUCGAUUAUUUCCUAGUUUACACGCAUUGUUAUCUAUCUAACUUUCAAUACUUUGUUUCUCAAUCCUCCAUCCACAAUAUUCCUUUUUUAUUUCUUUCAAACAACAUGCCAUACAAUCUUAACAAUUUUCAACUAGCUUAUGCAAAUAGAUCCUUUCAACAACCAUAAUUCCAUCACAAUAUUCAACUAACUGUAGGCUUUAAAACAUAGUGUUAAGCUUACCGUUUCCCUUUUCCACUUUGAGUCCUUCAUGUACCCAUGGGUUUAUUGGCUUACAUGUUACCAAUUUUUCUCUAAUCAAGCCAAUCUUUACUGCCACAAGACAUUUCUCUAAGUCACUAACUCAUUUUCAAAGACUACUUAAGCCAAAAACAAGAAUUCUUACCGUUCCUUACUUGAAUCACCAUAACCAAGCUUUUUCUUCCUUUCUCUCUUUUUCUUUCUUCUCCUAGGGUUUUGGUGUGUUGGAAAUUGGGGUUAAAGGUUGUAAAUUUAAUGCUCAAGAAGUUUGGAGAAGAAAGAAAAAAAAACAUGGAAAGGAAAGUGAAGAAAACUUGAUUUCAUGGUGGAUAAAGAGAAAAUGGCAUGGAAGCUUCAAGAAUGGUGCGGAGAAUGGAUGAAGAAGAAGAAAAAUCUGCUGGGGGAAAGGAUAAGGUCGGUCUUGGCAUAAAAAAAUCGGAGUCAAAGCUUUCUUUGGAAGCUUUGACCAAACUUCUCAUAAAAUUACCGUUUUGCCUUUUUUUUUGUUUCCUUUGAUUUUAAUCGAGUCCUCCCAACACUCAUUUAACUCCAAUUUCCUUCUACUACCUUCUCCUACACAUGCACAAACAAAGUAUGAGGAUUGUACUCCAACGCGGUGUCCCCAUAAUAUUUAAAAUAUUUAUUUGCCCGCGUUGUCUUUACUUAAUAAAGACACGCGGCCCCAUUAACAUCAUUUUUCUCCAAAAAUCCUCUCAUUCUUCUUCUCUCCCACUUAGAUUGACCAUAUAUUCAUUCUUCAUGAAAAAUUUUAACACUGAAUAAAAUAUUAAUAUUUUAAUAUUAUUUUAUUAAUAAAAUAUUAUUUUAUUUUAAAAAUUUCCUUGUCUCCUCUUGUCACCUUGGUACUCAAAAUACCUUAUUAUGUCUUAAUUGACUUUCGAAUCACUUUUUAUCUUGCAAAUUCUUCUCCGAUAAAAAUAUCAUUAUUUUAUUAUUAUUUCCUCGUGUGCGGAAUAUUUUAUCCCAAACUAUUCCUUUCAUCUUUCAUCAUUUCUAAACAUUAUAAUUAACCUCAAUUGGCAUCCAAUAAGCUUUAUUAGUCACCAUAUCAAAGUACGAGAUAUUACACUCUCCCCCACUUAAAUAGAAUUCGUCCUCGAAUUCUCUUUAACAUCGAGUUGUUAACCUCACUCAAUGAUCAUAUUCCAUUUCCUUCUUCAUAGGGAAUUUUGAUUUACGCACCUCAUUAUCUUCAAUUUGACUAGAACACUUUACAAGGUCAGGGUACGUAACUUAUAUCUAUUAUCAUCCUUGAGUCAAAACCAUGGUACCCUCCUCAAUUAUUCUUUCUUAUCAUUAAGAUCCCAUGUAUGCCUUUGAUUCUAUCACUAACCUUAAACAUAUCUUUAUUUCGAUUUUUAUCAAACCUUCAGUCAUUCAUUCACCUCGUUUACCUCCAGUUCGACUAGAAUGCUUCACUUAUGUUUGUUAUCAUCCUUUAGAAUCAAAUCGACGUUACACUUCACGAUCUUUAUCUCUUAUUUUAAGAUGUCGAGUAUGCCAUUAUCCCCAUCAUUAAAUUUGAACCAUAACUCCCUCUUGAUCAUACCGAUUUAAAUCACAUUUUAUACUAUGUAUACCAAUCACCAUCUUCUUACUUCAUUCCUUGUCAAACUUCUCAACAUUCAUUCAUCCUAUCCUUAUACACCAUUAUAUGACUUAUGGCAUCAUAAAAUGCCCUAUUUAUUCCUAUACAUAUUUCCAACAUUCUAGGGAGUUGAAUCUUUCAACUGUUCCUUCAUACUUCAUGUCUCUUUUUUUUUGUAUUUAUGCAACUCAAAUCUUCGUAAUCAAAUCAGUCCAUCUUGCAUGGCUUAAUCACGCCAUAGAUAACAUUUCCUUGAUAUCAUUUCUUUGGAUAUUUCUCCAAAAUUUCUUAUAUAAAUAUAGUUCUACUUUUGAUGGGAUUUCUUAUCAUUGUAUUAUCCAUACAACUCAUCAAAUAUAUUGAGUUCAAAUCUUGAAUCUCUAAAGACAGUUCUUCAUUUUAGUUGGCCACAUCAUCAAUCCCACACAUACGUAUGUACACGUACUUCUAAUGUCAAUACCAUAAGUUAUCUCUUACAUAAUCCGUAUGAAUUCUCAUUAUGCCUACACAAAACUUCACAUCAUUUACAUGCUGAUACUCCCUUCUUAUCAUUACCAAUUAUAUACUUAAGUUUCAUUGUACUAUAUAUAUAUAUCCUUGCACCACAAUGUCAUUAGUCACAUUUCAUUUACUAAAUAUCAUUUUCAUUAUCUUGCAAUCCAGUAUGUGUAUAUGCUUUAUAACCUCAUUGAUACUUUAAAGAUUCAUUUUUACUUGAUCAUUGCAUCUUAUGCAAUACCACAAUCCCUCCAAGUCAUCCCUAUUUCUCAAUUAUCUUUCAUGUCUCUAACAUGUAUAUUAUAUUCUUUUUGCAAUUCGUGACUAAUUAGUCACUUAAGACUUAGACUUAUUCAAUUAUGCAUAGAAUAUGCGUUUCCAAAUUUCGAUUCCCAUAAUACAUUAGAAGGUUUUCAUUAUCUGACUUCACUAUCGAGAUUACCUUCAACCAUUCUUUAUACUAUUCUCUUAUACUGAUAUAACAUCAUUCUCCUUUAGUCAAUUCACAAUUUGUACUUGGAAUUGCAAGACUGGAAACAAGGUUUGUCUCAAGCACCUUUCAAAGUGACUGUGAGUACCACUCCCAACUUACAGCUUCUUUUUUGUAACCAUAUAACUUAAUGCUAGCUUUCACAAGAUCCAUAGCAGAACUCUUCUUGAGUAUUUCUUUGGGGAUACCUAUCUUAAACUCAUGUCUCACCGUAUAUGAACACUUAACCUGUGACUUAGCGAUUAGGCUCCUCAGGAAGUUUAAAAAAUCCCACAUUUUAUACUUGCUGUGUAUGAUUAGUAAUUCCUUCUCAAAGAUGUUUGUGCAGUCCUGAAACACUUAGUCUCUUAUUUGCUCCUUCACAUCCCGAGCAUAUCAUUCUCUAGACAUGCACUCUUUCUUAAAGAUAUAUAAAUACAUAUUCGUCCAUUCAAUCCCCAAUUCAUCUUCAUAGGUUUCUAAUGUGCCACACAAUUGGCCUUGUGUUGUUACUAACCAUUUUCAUUUAGCUGAGUCAAGACAAGAAUUGUAAUUUCUCAUAACGAUAUUCUGGAUAAACCCAUUUGCUAUACCACCCUUGUAAUCCUUCAUUCAAACUUUCAUCACUUGGUAUUGACAUCCCUUAUCCAUAUCUCAUAUAUUCAUCUAACUCUUCAAUCACUUUUUCCUUAGUCUUUAACAAGGCUUAAUCUCUCGUCUCUUUUAUUUCUUAGGGUUUGCCUUUAGUCAACAUAUUAUCCAUCUUAAUACUUCACAUGAUAUCUUAUCUCAAUGUAGUCAUCUCAAGAAUUCUUCAACUUCUCUUUUAAUUAUAUGCCCAUAUACAAGGCAAUAAAGAAACUUUUCAAUUCAUUUAUGUAAACAUUCUCCAAAACAUUUAAAACUCCCAAAUAACAAAGCUCAAUGACCAAUGACCAUAAUUCAGUUUGUAAGCUCAUUAUAGUGCCAUUCCUAUUUUGCUCAUGCAUCUUAGACAUGAGGAGUCCCUAGCGCUGCGACACUAGACAAUCAGUGCUGCAGUGUCGCGACUGCUGGACAAUCAAUGCUGCAGCGUUGCGGCUGCUGGACAUGGGAUAGUUUCAACACUGCAGUGCUAAAGAGUUACUAUUGCAGUACUAUGGCUGUUGGAAAUUUCUUUCACGAAUAAGUUCUUCCAUCUUUAAAGUUACUACAGGGAUCAUGCUCAUCCAUUUGGCUCUCCUCCAAGCCUAUCCCACAAAUUUCAUGAUCAGGUGUAUCUUAUCUUUUGAUCAUCAUAUGCACUAAGCCAAGUCAAUAUUUUCUAACUCAUUUUAUCCCUUAACAUUUAUCUUCUACCAAUAAGUCCCACCUCAAGACAAUCUUGCCAUAUUGUGCAACAAAUUCUCAAUAUAUAAUACCACACACAAAAUUAUUUAUCAUUUACGACACUCCGCAAUUCCUUAACAUUCACGAUUAAUUGUCUUUCUUGUCUUGUAACUCAAAUAGUUUUGUUGACUUUUAGUACAAAUGGCCAUGAAAAUAGUUCAUCUUUCUCCAUGCUCUACAUUCACAAUCUUUAUUAAAUCAAGGCUUCACCUUUUUCCCAAGUUCCAUAAUUUAACUCAUUGGGCUAUAUUUGUGCCCAAAUAUUACCUCAUAAUGUCAUGGCAUCAUUUUGUAACUCCCUCCAAACUUAAAUUUUACAAUCCUUGACUUAAUCACAUCAUCCAUUCUAAGUGUCACCUAUAUUCUCAUUGAUUUCUCCUAUAUUCUUCCAAAUUGUAAUUGUAACUGGGAUUUCAAAUUUCACCUUUCCACGAUUAAUUGGUAAUCCUUUGUCAGAUCUCGUAGUUGUUUGUAUCAUUAAUGACUUUCUACAUUGAUCCUUAAUAAUUAUCCAAGGCAACCAAUGACGCCACUAAGGUGAAUAUCCUCCCUCAAUCAUUAUAUCGCUAAUCUAUCUCUAUCGUAUCAAAGGACUCCAAUAAGCAUCAAGUCAUUAAAACAGCUACUUCAUAAUCCAUUUAAGUCAUACAAAAUAAAAGCCAACUCUUAACUCCUUUGUACAGAUAAUUACUACAAUUUCCCUUACACUGCAUCUGUCUAUACUUAAAGUGAUACGAACUUUAACAAAAAUAUUAUGUGUCUUUAUGAUCCUCGUCACCUCGAUCCAGGCACAUCAACGGAUCUUCAUCCGGGUCCUCUUCUUCCUCUUGAGAUUUUCUCGUUUUAUUUUCAAUCCAAGCUUGUUGUUGCUUCUCAAAUUCCUCCUUAUUGAUAGGUGCAGCACUUCUCCCACAACCAGGAGGGAAAUGUUGAACAACGGAUAUAGAUACCUUCCUAGGAUGAGAAUUAUUGAUAGUCCUUUUUCCCAUCUUGUUCGUGUUCUUUUUCCUCGGAUCGACUUCAUUAUGAACCAAUCUUGCGAGACUCCUCAAGCUCUUAAAUAAUGGUUACCUCUCGAGGGAACCGAUCCACUCAGAAAUUAGGUUGGGUUACUUGUUAUGUUUUCACCCUCGGGCACAUAUUGGCUUCGAGCAGUGGAAUCUAGCGAUCCCUUGCUAGUACUAUAAGGGGGUAUCGGGACUAUUGUCUUUUCUAGACAUAGUGUGUGCAACUGGUGCACCUCCACCUAUACGCAACCAAGUAUUAAUUACUCUUCCAUCUAGACAUCAUAAAAACAGGCAGGUUUCUAAUGAAAUAGGGGCCCAUGCAACCUCCCGUCUUUGACUUGUGUUGCGCACCCACAAUCCAAGGACAAGACUCUACACGCACUCCAACAACUCCGCUGACCACAUAGGAAUCCCUAGGAUUCAACUAAAUCUAGAGCUCUGAUACCAUGUUUGUCACAGCCCAAUUUUUGAGCCAUGACCGGUGCAAGGGACCAAUGGGCUCAGCCCACCAAGCCCAAGCAAGCCUACUUACAUGAUCUUAUACGUUAAUCCAUAUUCCUUUAGAAUCCGAAAUUCAUAAUACUUAAUUACAAUUCCUUUGAAAACAACUCAUAAAACCCAGUCAUGUAUUCAUAAUGGCAUCAUCAACCAUUAUAUACAUACAUAUAAUUUGACAAGUGAAUCUCAGCAUUUCACAACAAAUAGUCAUAUACACGUAAUUAGAACUUGACCGUCAGCGGAGUGACUCUGGAUGGGAGAUAUGACUAUUGAAUGUCAAAGUACUUGCCCAAAAGAUGGGAGUACGCGGACACCUCAAUCUAUGUCUCAACCACCCCUGAAUUUGAAAACAUGAAGUUGAAAACGUGAAUAUAAUCUCAGUGAGUGAACAUAGGAAGGGAACAAGCAAUGUUAAGGAAGGUUUAGAAAUCAUGAUGCACAUCUUUGAAAACAAUGCAACUUAGUUCACAUUCUUAUUAAAAUCCUUCCAUCAAACCUCAAAUGAGUAAAUCACUUGAUAAAAAGGGUCCAUGCUCAACAAAGAAUUUGAAGAGUGAAAACUUUAAUAGCAUUCAUCCAAUUCAAGUCAAGUCAACGACGGGUCGUCGCUGCAGCGGAAAGGCAUUCUCGCUGCAGCGGAAAGGCAUUCUCGCUGCAGCGAGAUUUCGACCAGCAUUAUCCCUUCAAAUCCAAGAGUUUCUCACUGUAGCAAGAAUGAAUUUUGUUGCAACGAGAAACAGAGCACCAUGAGAAAGUUUCCUUUCUUUCAAGAAAAAGCCAUACUGCUAAAAUGACAAAAAAAUCAACAUGAAACGCAUAAUAAUUCCCAAAGUUCAACAUGCAAGAUUCACAUGUGCAACACCAUAUACCAUACUCAUGAACUUUCUAUAACACAAAUAUCUAUAUAUGUAUAUAUAUAUAUAUAUCCAUCACCAUACACACCCUCUCAUCAUCAUCAGCUCAUAUGCACUCCCACUAGCACAUGGCUGGGUCAGCAUUGGCUUAUGCACACUCCUACUCGCACAUAGUCAGGUUAGCAUCGACUUAUGCGUACUCCCCCUCGCACAUAGCCUGGUCAGCAUUGGCUUAUGCACACUUUUACUCGUACAUAGCCGGGUCAAUAUCAUUACACAACAUUAUUCGUAUACACACACACAUAUAUGUAUAUAUAUAUAUAUCAACACAGUAUAGGAGCACAUAAGUCCGUCCUAUUACACAUUUCACAUUUUCACAACAUCAAAAUAUUUUAUCAAAAGCUUGUUCCCAAGGUACACGUUUUUAAAGACAAGUUAAAAUAAAUCAUUCAAUGUUUCAUACCAAUACAAUUAUGUCUCCCAAAAUAAUUUUGAAAUGCAAGUUCACUCACUUGGCAACAAUGAGAUUUUAAGUCGCUAUUUGUUCGGAGGUGUCUCUAACUAUUUUCACUAGUCGGUCGUUCGUUAUUUACUCCAGCAUGCCACCACAAUUCUCUAACUUUAUCUUUGCACUUCCUAGCAAUAAUACGAACUCAAUAUAUUUAAUUGCAUACGUAUACGGGCAUCACUUCAAUUAAUUAAUCCUUACUCAAAUUUAUAUUUUCAUUUUAUCAUGAAACCAUCUUCAAUUAACUCACAUCUUAAUACAUUUUUACCAAAAUUACUUACAUCCAUUGCUUACAAAAUUCCUUAGAUUAUAUCAUCGACAACUUAUUUAUGAUGUCAUGUGCCUACUUCAACCUUUCUAAAUAAUUUUCUCCCAAAUCCAUCUUAUAUUUCCACACAUAAUACACAUAUAUGGCAGCAACAAUUAUUCUCACUUUCACUCGAUUAUUUCCUAAUUUACAUGCAUUGUUAUCUAUCUAACUUUCAAUACCCUGUUUCUUAAUCUUCCAUCCAUAAUAUUCCUUUUUUAUUUCUUUCAAACAACAUGCCAUACAAUCUUAACAAUUUUCAACUAGCUUAUGCAAAUAGAUCCUUUCGACAACCAUAAUUCCAUCACAAUAUUCAACUAACCGUAGGCUUUAAAACAUAGUGUUAAGCUUACCGUUUUCCUUUUCCACUUUGAGUCCUUCAUGUACCCAUGGGUUUAUUGGCUUACAUGUUACCAAUUUUUCUCCAAUCAAGCCAAUCUUUGCUGCCACAAGACAUUUCUCUAAGUCACUAACUCAUUUUCAAAGACUACUCAAGCCAAAAACAAGAAUUCUUACCAUUCCUUGCUUGCAUCACCAAAACCAAGCUUUUUCUUCCUUUCUCUCUUUUCCUUUCUU